CCUACGGGAGGCAGCAGUGAGGAAUAUUGGUCAAUGGCCGGAAGGCUGAACCAGCCAAGCCGCGUGAAGGACGACGGUGCCAAGCAUUGUAAACUUCUUUUGUCAAGGGACAAAAUCAGGCACGAGAGCCUGAUCGAAGGUACCUGAUGAAAAAGCAUCGGCUAAUUCCGUGCCAGCAGCCGCGGUAAUACGGAGGAUGCGAGCGUUAUCCGGAUUUAUUGGGUUUAAAGGGUUCGUAGGCGGACUGUUAAGUCUGCGGUAAAAGCCCGGGGCUCAACCCCGGCGAGCCGUUGAAACUGGCUGUCUUGAGAUGUCGGGAGGUAUGCGGAAUUCGCAGUGUAGCGGUGAAAUGCUUAGAUAUUGCGCAGAACUCCGAUUGCGAAGGCAGCAUACCGGCGGCGAUCUGACGCUGAGGCACGAAAGCGUGGGUAUCGAACAGGAUUAGAUACCCCAGUAGUC
This 459-nucleotide ribosomal RNA is filed under the name uncultured bacterium. Its description in RNAcentral is "partial 16S ribosomal RNA". It matches the Rfam family "Bacterial small subunit ribosomal RNA", at positions 338 to 795 of the family's 1533-position model. The record is from RNAcentral.